CUUCAUCUCCUCUAUCGCUUUCAGCUCUUCGCGUUCUCUUCUCAAGUCUUCUAGUUCCAUCCUGAGAGAAUUCACCAAACUUCGGAGAGAGCAUUCGUCAUCAGCAGCUUCUUGUAGCCUCAUCGUUGCUUCAUUAAGCUCAUUUGUAAUGAUCUUAACCGUGUUCAUCUCUGAUUCAUGAGCUUUCUUCAUCUCUUCCCGUAAAACCUCAAUCUCUGAAGUUGUCUCUAACAGCUUGGCUUCAAGAGUUCUUGAGAGCUCAGGCUCAUAUUCUUUCCUCAACACUAGCAGUUUCUUCUCUGCCUCUUCAACAGCAGUUCUAUAACAUUCUCGUAAAUCGUCUUUUUCCUUAACAAUAUUAGCGUGCUCCUGCAGAUUCUGAGCAGCCGCUAGCUUGAGCUGAUGAAUCGCAUCUUUCAUAUCCGAAAUCUCCUUAGAAAGCUCGUUAACUUUGGCGGAGUUGACUUGGAGUGCACGUUGAGCUUCUGCAGCCUGGUUUAAGGCCGUGGCUUUGAAAUCCAUAGCGGAAUCAAAGCUCUGUCUAAUUUUGUUGAGCUGCUGUUUUGCAGCAUCAAGUUCAACGGUGGUGGAGAUAUAUUGUUCUCUAGCGACGUCAAGUUCAUGGUGAUGAGGAGGAGAGCCAUGACACUUAUCAUGCUCAAGCUGUUCUUCCCGCUGUUGGACAGUUUCUUUGGUGUCAAUAGCUGAUUGCUUAGACUUGUUGACAGUCUCAAGUUUGUUGCUAAGAUCCUCCAUUGUCUUCUUCGCCUUUGAGAGAUCGUCUAGAGCACGAGAUCUUGUGCUCUCAGCGUUGUCAAGCUUUUGCUUGAUCUUCAUGAAUUCCUUGUGGACCAGCAUUAGCUGUGUUUCCUUGUCGCAAACGCUCUGAAACAUAACAUAAACAAAUAUUUUUAGUUUUGCACACAACACAAUCUGUUACCUAGACAUAUUCUGGUCAUCUAAAACCAUG
Molecule: long non-coding RNA, 970 nt
Organism: Arabidopsis thaliana (thale cress)
Lineage: Eukaryota; Viridiplantae; Streptophyta; Magnoliopsida; Brassicales; Brassicaceae
Product: other RNA
Exons: 2
Source: RefSeq